Molecule: non-coding RNA, 76 nt
Organism: Zea mays
Lineage: Eukaryota; Viridiplantae; Streptophyta; Magnoliopsida; Poales; Poaceae
Source: Rfam
GUUCCCAGUGAUGGUAUAUAUUAACCAUGCUAAUACUGAUGUCCUUUGACGAGUAUAACAAUGUGCUGAGGGAGCU